GACGAACGCUGGCGGCGUGCCUAAUACAUGCAAGUCGAGCGAAUUUACGAGAGCUUGCUCUCGUAAAUUAGUGGCGGACGGGUGAGUAACACGUGGGCAACCUGCCUAUAAGACUGGGAUAACUUCGGGAAACCGGAGCUAAUACCGGAUAAUUCACAUCUACUCAUGUAAAUGUGCUGAAAGACGGUUUCGGCUGUCACUUAUAGAUGGGCCCGCGGCGCAUUAGCUAGUUGGUGAGGUAACGGCUCACCAAGGCCACGAUGCGUAGCCGACCUGAGAGGGUGAUCGGCCACACUGGGACUGAGACACGGCCCAGACUCCGACGGGAGGCAGCAGUAGGGAAUCUUCCGCAAUGGACGAAAGUCUGACGGAGCAACGCCGCGUGAGUGAUGAAGGUUUUCGGAUCGUAAAACUCUGUUGUUAGGGAAGAACAAGUACCAGAGUAACUGCUGGUACCUUGACGGUACCUAACCAGAAAGCCACGGCUAACUACGUGCCAGCCGCCGCAGUAA
RNAcentral lists this ribosomal RNA (512 nucleotides) under uncultured bacterium. RNAcentral's name for it is "partial 16S ribosomal RNA". It matches the Rfam family "Bacterial small subunit ribosomal RNA", at positions 28 to 523 of the family's 1533-position model. The record is from RNAcentral.